RNAcentral lists this small RNA (29 nucleotides) under Bombyx mori (domestic silkworm). RNAcentral describes it as "ovarian small RNA-20311". Lineage: Eukaryota; Metazoa; Arthropoda; Insecta; Lepidoptera; Bombycidae. The record is from RNAcentral.
UACAGGUACUGAAGUCGGAAGAGCUAUAC